GAGAAAACGGGCAGAGAUUUGGAGGUAUUUGUGCAUGCUCUAUAUUACAGUUGAAAAGUGUAUAACAGCUUUCCAAUGCUGUUACUUGUGGCGAACACCUUUUUGCUUGAGUUGAUGCGUGCCCGCAGGUGGAAUAAUGUCACAUGUCACACACAUUUUCUGUUGUUUUGAUUUAUUUACUCAUUCAUCAUUUUAUGUGCGCACCUCUCAUAAUCAACCCACCCAUUAAAUAGACGGGCACAAUAGCACCAUCUGCUGGCACAAAAAAUACAUAACAAUAAACUGCAAAACCCCAAUCUGGCUCCUACAAAGUGUAUGUGACAAGAUGAUUAACGUUUGCUUUUGUUAAAUCAGGGCUUCCCCAGCCAGGACUUCGGCUCAGACUGUGGCAUAUUCAUGUUGAUGGUAGGUCAUAACGAGCUGUAAUGCACAAAUAUUGUAUCUAGAAUAACUUUCCAACAUGGACUUUUUUAAAGUUAUCUCACAUGUUGUCUCAUAAUUUUUUUUUUAAAGUCUGCCAUGUACAUCGUUAU
This is a non-coding RNA of Xyrichtys novacula (pearly razorfish), 533 nucleotides long. The record is from the annotation of a GenBank genome assembly. NCBI's taxonomy places the organism in Eukaryota, Metazoa, Chordata, Actinopteri, Labriformes, Labridae.